This 364-nucleotide ribosomal RNA is filed under the name uncultured fungus. RNAcentral's name for it is "eukaryotic LSU rRNA". It matches the Rfam family "Eukaryotic large subunit ribosomal RNA", at positions 40 to 398 of the family's 3401-position model. The record is from RNAcentral. Lineage: Eukaryota; Fungi.
AUAUCAAUAAGCGGAGGAAAAGAAACUAACAAGGAUUCCCUUAGUAGCGGCGAGCGAAGCGGGAAGAGCUCAAAUUUGAAAGCUGGCGUCCUUCGGGCGUCCGCAUUGUAAUCUAUAGAGGCGUUUUCUGUGCUGGACCGUGUCCAAGUCCCUUGGAACAGGGUAUCAAAGAGGGUGACAAUCCCGUACUUGACACGACAACCAGUGCUCUGUGAUACGUCUUCUACGAGUCGAGUUGUUUGGGAAUGCAGCUCAAAAUGGGUGGUGAAUUCCAUCUAAAGCUAAAUAUUGGCGAGAGACCGAUAGCGAACAAGUACCGUGAGGGAAAGAUGAAAAGCACUUUGGAAAGAGAGUUAAACAGUAU